RNAcentral lists this ribosomal RNA (403 nucleotides) under uncultured bacterium. Its description in RNAcentral is "partial 16S ribosomal RNA". It matches the Rfam family "Bacterial small subunit ribosomal RNA", at positions 30 to 526 of the family's 1533-position model. The record is from RNAcentral.
AUUGAACGCUGGCGGCAGGCCUAACACAUGCAAGUCGAGCGAGCGGCGGACGGGUGAGUAAUGUAUGGGGACUGCCCGAUAGAGGGGGAUAACUACUGGAAACGGUGGCUAAUACCGCAUACUAUCGGAUAACCCAUAUGGGAUUAGCUAGUGGGUGGGGUAAAGGCUCACCUAGGCGACGAUCCGUAGCUGGUAUGAGAGGAUGAGCAGCCACACUGUGACUGAGACACGGCCCAGACUCCUACGGAGGCAGCAGUGGGGAAUCUUGCACAAUGGGCGCAACCCUGAUGCAGCCAUGCCGCGUGUAUGAUGAAGGCCUUAGGGUUGUAAAGUACUUUCGGCGGGGAGGCGUUACCCGCAGAAGAAGCACCGGCUAACUCCGUGCCAGCCGCCGCGGUAAUAC